CUACGGGGCGCUGCAGUGGGGAAUAUUGCACAAUGGACGAAAGUCUGAUGCAGCAACGCCGCGUGGAGGAUGACACAUUUCGGUGCGUAAACUCCUUUUAUAUCCCAAGAUAAUGACGGUAGGAUAUGAAUAAGCGCCGGCUAACUCCGUGCCAGCAGCCGCGGUAAUACGGAGGGCGCAAGCGUUACUCGGAAUCACUGGGCGUAAGGAGCGUGUAGGCGGAUAGAUAAGUUGGGAGUGAAAUCCUAUGGCUUAACCAUAGAAUUGCUUCCAAAACUGUCUAUCUAGAAUAUGGGAGAGGUAGAUGGAAUUUCUGGUGUAGGGGUAAAAUCCGUAGAGAUCAGAAGGAAUACCGAUUGCGAAGGCGAUCUACUGGAACAUUAUUGACGCUGAGACGCGAAAGCGUGGGGAGCAAACAGGAUUAGAUACCCGCGUAGUC
This 439-nucleotide ribosomal RNA is filed under the name uncultured bacterium. RNAcentral's name for it is "partial 16S ribosomal RNA". It matches the Rfam family "Bacterial small subunit ribosomal RNA", at positions 339 to 795 of the family's 1533-position model. The record is from RNAcentral.